RNAcentral lists this ribosomal RNA (2113 nucleotides) under Escherichia coli 2-210-07_S4_C2. RNAcentral describes it as "bacterial LSU rRNA". It matches the Rfam family "Bacterial large subunit ribosomal RNA", at positions 1 to 2141 of the family's 2925-position model. Lineage: Bacteria; Pseudomonadati; Pseudomonadota; Gammaproteobacteria; Enterobacterales; Enterobacteriaceae. The record is from RNAcentral.
UUAAGCGACUAAGCGUACACGGUGGAUGCCCUGGCAGUCAGAGGCGAUGAAGGACGUGCUAAUCUGCGAUAAGCGUCGGUAAGGUGAUAUGAACCGUUAUAACCGGCGAUUUCCGAAUGGGGAAACCCAGUGUGUUUCGACACACUAUCAUUAACUGAAUCCAUAGGUUAAUGAGGCGAACCGGGGGAACUGAAACAUCUAAGUACCCCGAGGAAAAGAAAUCAACCGAGAUUCCCCCAGUAGCGGCGAGCGAACGGGGAGCAGCCCAGAGCCUGAAUCAGUGUGUGUGUUAGUGGAAGCGUCUGGAAAGGCGCGCGAUACAGGGUGACAGCCCCGUACACAAAAAUGCACAUGCUGUGAGCUCGAUGAGUAGGGCGGGACACGUGGUAUCCUGUCUGAAUAUGGGGGGACCAUCCUCCAAGGCUAAAUACUCCUGACUGACCGAUAGUGAACCAGUACCGUGAGGGAAAGGCGAAAAGAACCCCGGCGAGGGGAGUGAAAAAGAACCUGAAACCGUGUACGUACAAGCAGUGGGAGCACGCUUAGGCGUGUGACUGCGUACCUUUUGUAUAAUGGGUCAGCGACUUAUAUUCUGUAGCAAGGUUAACCGAAUAGGGGAGCCGAAGGGAAACCGAGUCUUAACUGGGCGUUAAGUUGCAGGGUAUAGACCCGAAACCCGGUGAUCUAGCCAUGGGCAGGUUGAAGGUUGGGUAACACUAACUGGAGGACCGAACCGACUAAUGUUGAAAAAUUAGCGGAUGACUUGUGGCUGGGGGUGAAAGGCCAAUCAAACCGGGAGAUAGCUGGUUCUCCCCGAAAGCUAUUUAGGUAGCGCCUCGUGAACUCAUCUCCGGGGGUAGAGCACUGUUUCGGCAAGGGGGUCAUCCCGACUUACCAACCCGAUGCAAACUGCGAAUACCGGAGAAUGUUAUCACGGGAGACACACGGCGGGUGCUAACGUCCGUCGUGAAGAGGGAAACAACCCAGACCGCCAGCUAAGGUCCCAAAGUCAUGGUUAAGUGGGAAACGAUGUGGGAAGGCCCAGACAGCCAGGAUGUUGGCUUAGAAGCAGCCAUCAUUUAAAGAAAGCGUAAUAGCUCACUGGUCGAGUCGGCCUGCGCGGAAGAUGUAACGGGGCUAAACCAUGCACCGAAGCUGCGGCAGCGACGCUUAUGCGUUGUUGGGUAGGGGAGCGUUCUGUAAGCCUGUGAAGGUGUACUGUGAGGUAUGCUGGAGGUAUCAGAAGUGCGAAUGCUGACAUAAGUAACGAUAAAGCGGGUGAAAAGCCCGCUCGCCGGAAGACCAAGGGUUCCUGUCCAACGUUAAUCGGGGCAGGGUGAGUCGACCCCUAAGGCGAGGCCGAAAGGCGUAGUCGAUGGGAAACAGGUUAAUAUUCCUGUACUUGGUGUUACUGCGAAGGGGGGACGGAGAAGGCUAUGUUGGCCGGGCGACGGUUGUCCCGGUUUAAGCGUGUAGGCUGGUUUUCCAGGCAAAUCCGGAAAAUCAAGGCUGAGGCGUGAUGACGAGGCACUACGGUGCUGAAGCAACAAAUGCCCUGCUUCCAGGAAAAGCCUCUAAGCAUCAGGUAACAUCAAAUCGUACCCCAAACCGACACAGGUGGUCAGGUAGAGAAUACCAAGGCGCUUGAGAGAACUCGGGUGAAGGAACUAGGCAAAAUGGUGCCGUAACUUCGGGAGAAGGCACGCUGAUAUGUAGGUGAAGCGACUUGCUCGUGGAGCUGAAAUCAGUCGAAGAUACCAGCUGGCUGCAACUGUUUAUUAAAAACACAGCACUGUGCAAACACGAAAGUGGACGUAUACGGUGUGACGCCUGCCCGGUGCCGGAAGGUUAAUUGAUGGGGUCAGCGCAAGCGAAGCUCUUGAUCGAAGCCCCGGUAAACGGCGGCCGUAACUAUAACGGUCCUAAGGUAGCGAAAUUCCUUGUCGGGUAAGUUCCGACCUGCACGAAUGGCGUAAUGAUGGCCAGGCUGUCUCCACCCGAGACUCAGUGAAAUUGAACUCGCUGUGAAGAUGCAGUGUACCCGCGGCAAGACGGAAAGACCCCGUGAACCUUUACUAUAGCUUGACACUGAACAUUGAGCCUUGAUGUGUAG